Non-coding RNA from Plectropomus leopardus (leopard coralgrouper), 141 nucleotides. The record is from RefSeq and is a predicted model, not a curated record. Lineage: Eukaryota; Metazoa; Chordata; Actinopteri; Perciformes; Serranidae.
GGUGGAGCCCCUUCACGCCACAACAGGCCUUGUAACUGAUGAAGAGGAUGAAACUGUGUCUGCUGCCUUUACAGAGGGGGAUUCAGAAAGGCAUACAGAGAGCAUGGCUGGGCAACAGCAGGACGGUCCCUCAACUUCCAC